Molecule: long non-coding RNA, 279 nt
Filed under: Pan troglodytes (chimpanzee)
Lineage: Eukaryota; Metazoa; Chordata; Mammalia; Primates; Hominidae
Description: lncRNA (ENSPTRG00000053815.1)
Source: RNAcentral
CACAAAUUCUUUCAUAGGGUUUAUUCAUUGCAUAAUAUUGCAUGUAGCAGCAACGAAUAUUUGGCUUAAGCAGAGGAACUACAGACGUGGCCAACUGAAUACCUACUCGCUGUAAGGAAGGAAACUGCUUCUUACGGUUUGCUGCUUGUGUGCUUAGCUGGUGCAAUUAGAUCAGAGACAGCUACGGAAGGAAGAAGUUUAGAGUGGCUCAAUCAAAUCAUGAAACUAGGCAAGUGGAAAAUUGCAUUUUGUUGCUUUGAAUUAGGUAAGCUAUUACCU